Molecule: long non-coding RNA, 1057 nt
Organism: Onychostoma macrolepis
Lineage: Eukaryota; Metazoa; Chordata; Actinopteri; Cypriniformes; Cyprinidae
Exons: 3
Source: RefSeq, a predicted model, not a curated record
GCCCUAUAAUAAGUGGGAUCAUGUAUCAGUCAUCUGGUCAUAAUAGAAAAACAAACCCCAGCUGUCUGCUGUACAUGUAAACAGAUGGGUUGUUUGAUGCCUCUCUGUCACGAGGAGACGUUGUGUUGAGUGCUCGUUGGGGACUUGUGCUUGCCCCGUGGCCACGAAGAGAGUGCAGCGCUCUCUCUCUCUCUCAGCCUGCAAACAGAGACGCUUUCAUUUCCGCGCCAAGCGCUUCCGCCCUGGCAGCCAUUCCUUCAGUCUUCACUGUCACAUGCACGAUCCUUCAGAGAUCAUUCUAAUAUUUUGAUUUGCUGCUGAAGAAACAUUUGUUUAUAGUUAAUGCCAAAAAGAGUUGUGCUGCUUACAUUUUUGUGGAGACCAUGAUAGAUGUUUUUUUAGGAUUCUUUGAAUAGAAAAAGGGAAACAUCUAUUCUUCCUUCAGAAAUUGGGCAGAUGGAGUUGCGGGCAGCGUGCCAACAUGCAGCACCAUUGUGCUAUGGGUGUCCCGAGUUUGAAUCCCGGCUAGAGGACCUUUCCUGAUCCUGCCCCCUGUCUCUCCCACUUCACUUCUUGUCAACUCUAAACUCAAAAAUCGCCAAAAAGAAAUUGGCAAAUGGAGCCAUCUCCACAGACAGAAUAUUACACAGAUUUUGGAUUCAGACAUGUCUGGAUGCUUUCAUCAUUUUUUAGGUUUCAGGCUCUCCAUGUAGAUGUUAAAAACAAGGGUGGUAAUGCUUAUUGAAUUUUAUUGAAUGUUACUGUGUAUUAAAACAGAGUGCUGAAUCUGCGAGUGAGAUGAACUGUCAUAUCCACACAAAAGCGUGUGCUGAUCUGAGAUGGAUAAAGAGUGUAUGUGUGUGUGUGAGUGUGUGUGUGUGUGUGUGAGCACUUGGAGUAAUUGAUGGAGUUGGAUGGGCAUUUAAUGUUGCGUGUUAUGAUGCUUGAGAUUUUAUUACUGAACUUAAUUACUUUUUCGUCCUUUGUUUUCUUUACGAAACAGUCUUGCCACUACAAACAGAAUAACAUCUCAGGAAAUGCUUAGGUGAACAUUGUA